AGGAGGAACAACUGCAGUGGCUGGGCCAGCUCAUCAGCCCUGGAGUUAGCCCCCACAGUAGCUCCAGAGCUCUCUGUCUGCAGGGCCUGGAGGCUCUGGGGCGGG
RNAcentral lists this microRNA precursor (105 nucleotides) under Canis lupus familiaris (dog). Its description in RNAcentral is "mir-8834 microRNA precursor family". It matches the Rfam family "mir-8834 microRNA precursor family". RNAcentral also lists the same sequence under 1 other name. The record is from Rfam by way of RNAcentral. Lineage: Eukaryota; Metazoa; Chordata; Mammalia; Carnivora; Canidae.